Molecule: long non-coding RNA, 762 nt
Organism: Alnus glutinosa
Lineage: Eukaryota; Viridiplantae; Streptophyta; Magnoliopsida; Fagales; Betulaceae
Exons: 2
Source: RefSeq, a predicted model, not a curated record
CGUUACAGUUGUGGACCACACGGACCUCUUUAAUGCUAGGAGGUUGAGUGCUACAACACUCCACGCCACGCAGAAUGCAUGCGCACAUGCUCAACAGUGAACACACCCAACUUUUUCCUAAUUUUGGAAGAUAGAGAUUAGAGAGUGCUUCAGCCCCUGUACUCCUUUGCUCUCUUUCUUGUGCAAUUCUCGGUUCUCCAGCUGCCCACAGUAUAGUAUCCGGUGUAAGCUCAACCCCAGAACCCCUUCUAUAAAUAGGGAUUCGGUGUGAGCAAUGGUGCCUCACACAGUCACACGGUUCACAUACCUCUUCGCUAGCCUUCCCCUUCAGUUCCUCCCGCUCUCUCUUUCUCCUAGGAUCGAUCAUACACCCUGGAAAUGGACUCCGAUGCGUGGACCGCUCGCCUCUCCAUUGCUUCGCGGCGCUACCAGAGAUCGAUCAGAUCUGUACCUGUGAGGGGGUCACAAGGAAAUUGACGGGGCCGAGUUUCUGUGCCCGUUUUGCGCUUAGGAUUACAACGUCAUUCGCCGUUGUUGCCAUGUCGAUGAGGAGCAUCCUAUGGAGGCCAAGAAUGGGGUACCCAUUUUUUCUUUUUGCUUUUGGUUUCUGGUUUGUUGUUCUCUCUGUUAGAGUAAUAGAUAAGAGAGAGGUUUUGCCGUUGUGGAAAGGAACAAGCAAGGUUGUGGGUUAGUGGAUUUAUGUUGACUGGGUUUGAUUUCGUGCUGAUUGGGGCUCUGUUGCGGCUCCGGCUUUUUCUCUAC